Molecule: transfer RNA, 74 nt
Filed under: Capra hircus (goat)
Lineage: Eukaryota; Metazoa; Chordata; Mammalia; Artiodactyla; Bovidae
Also listed under: 1 other name
Rfam family: tRNA
About the family: Transfer RNA (tRNA) molecules are approximately 80 nucleotides in length.
Source: Rfam by way of RNAcentral
UCCCUGGUGGCUCAGAUGGUAAAGAACCUGCCUGCAAUGCAGGGGGAACCCAGGUUCAAUCCUUGGGUGGGGAG